RNAcentral lists this ribosomal RNA (425 nucleotides) under uncultured bacterium. RNAcentral describes it as "partial 16S ribosomal RNA". It matches the Rfam family "Bacterial small subunit ribosomal RNA", at positions 354 to 796 of the family's 1533-position model. The record is from RNAcentral.
GUGGGGAAUAUUGGACAAUGGGGGAAACCCUGAUCCAGCCAUGCCGCGUGAAUGAUGAAGGCCUUCGGGUUGUAAAGUUCUUUUGGAGGGGACGAUGAUGACGGUACCCUCAGAAUAAGCUCCGGCUAACUUCGUGCCAGCAGCCGCGGUAAUACGAAGGGAGCUAGCGUUGUUCGGAAUUACUGGGCGUAAAGGGCGCGUAGGCGGUUUGGUCAGUCAGAUGUGAAAGCCCAGGGCUUAACCCUGGAACUGCGUUUGAUACUGCCAAGCUUGAAUUCGGGAGAGGUGAGUGGAAUUCCCAGUGUAGAGGUGAAAUUCGUAGAUAUUGGGAAGAACACCAGUGGCGAAGGCGGCUCACUGGACCGACAUUGACGCUGAGGCGCGAAAGCGUGGGGAGCAAACAGGAUUAGAUACCCUAGUAGUCC